RNAcentral lists this microRNA precursor (62 nucleotides) under Oreochromis niloticus (Nile tilapia). RNAcentral's name for it is "microRNA oni-mir-10872 precursor". The record is from miRBase by way of RNAcentral. Lineage: Eukaryota; Metazoa; Chordata; Actinopteri; Cichliformes; Cichlidae.
GACAUUGAAGAAAAAAAUUAAGAUAACGUUUUGCUCAUCUUCAUUUUUUUCUCCAUUGUCCU